This 2863-nucleotide ribosomal RNA is filed under the name Segatella copri. RNAcentral's name for it is "23S ribosomal RNA". It matches the Rfam family "Bacterial large subunit ribosomal RNA". The record is from RNAcentral. Lineage: Bacteria; Pseudomonadati; Bacteroidota; Bacteroidia; Bacteroidales; Prevotellaceae.
AAGAAAGUAAGAAAGGGCGUAUGGCGGAUGCCUAGAUUCACGGAGGCGAUUUAAGACGAUAAGCUGCGAUAAGCUUCUGGGUAGGUGCAAAUAACCCUUUGAUCCCGAGAUUCGAAUGGGGAUGUAACCCAGCCGUUCAGAUACUCCAUCAGUAAGAGAGCUUUAACGCAGGAACUGGAAACAUCUUAGUACCUGCAGGUUAUGGUUAAACACGAUUCCCAGUGCUGUUUUAACGGGGAACAGCCCAAAACCAUGGCGUCGUGCGCGGCUGGCCAGUAGGGUCUACCGCGACAUUGUAAUUGAAAUGGUGAGUGGAAGCAAUUGGAAAGUUACAUCACAGAAGGUGAUAAUCCCGUACACCGAAGCCGAUCAGGCAUAGCGGUAUCCUGAGCAACAGCGGGACAUCAGAGGAAUCCUGGUAUGAAUCUGCUGACCAUCCGGUAUACAAACACUUCCGUGACCGAUAGCUGAACGAGUACUGUGAAGAAAGGCGAAAAGAACCCCGAGCAGGAGUGAAAUAGUUCCUGAAACCAUACGCCUGCUAAGCGGUCGUAUUGACAGCAAUGACGGCGUGCCUUUGGCCAAGCGAUCCUACGAGUUACCGUCACUGGCGAGGCUGGAGGUCAUGAGACACGUAGCCGCAGGAAAGCCGAGCCUCGACGACAGGGCGCACAGUCAGUGGGGGUAGACGCGGUCCGGGCGGAUCUACACUUGGCCAGGAUGAAGUCCCGCAACACGGAUGAAAAUCCGCACCAAUAAGCGCUGAAAGCUUCUGAUGAGCUGAGCAGGGAGUGAAAGGCCAAUCAAACUUGAGAAGCCGUACUCCCUGAAAGCAGCAUUUAGGCGUCGGAUGUCACCGUGAGGAGGUAGGUAGAGCGAAUUGAUAGACAAGAGGGUUUCGCACCGCCUAUCGAGUCCGACUUCCAACCCUGAAUGCUCACGGUCUGCAGUCCGGCAGUAAGGGGGCGGGUGCUAAGGUCCGUCCCCGAGAGGAGAAGAAUCCAGACCGCCGUCUAAGGUCCCGGAGUUCUGCCUGAGUUAGUCUAACGAAGUCUGGUCCCUAUGACAGCUAGGAUGUUAGCUUGAAGCAGCCAUUAUCCAAAGAGUGCGUAACAGCUCACUUAUCGAGGUCCGGGCAUGGAUAAUAAUCAUAAGGCAGACACCCCGAAGGCGCGGGAUAGAAUUUUAAAAGUAUCGGUAGGGGAGCACCACAGCAGUCGAACGGUGUAAUGCGUUCCCGGAGCGGUGAGUAAAGCAAAAUGUAGGAAUAAGUAACGAUAAGGAGGGUUAGAUUCUCCCGCUAAGACCAAGGUUUCGGCAACGCCUAAUCAGCCCGGGGCCAGCUCUGGGUCCUAAGUCUAAGCCGGCCACGAACGGCGAGAUGGCGAUGGCAGAGACGGCGUUAAUAUUCCGUCACCGCCGCAUGGGGCGAUUUCCGGAGAUGGAAAGCAGUGAAACGACCGCGGGCGACGGAAGUCCCCGCCAGCGGCGUAGGCGUUGAGGAAGGCAGGCAAUCCACCUUCCGAGCUGAACCUGAUUAGCACGGAGUCCUCGGAGGAAUCUGAUAGGUAAUCAUAAUUUCGAGAAAAUCCGCUGCUUUAACCCAUGCGGUUAAUCUGUACCAAAAACGGACACACGUGGUCGGGUAGAACAUACCUGGCGGCGUUGAGAUUCAUGGUUAAGCGAACUUAGGCAAAUUGACCCUGUAACUUCGGAGGAAGGUCCGAUGAGCGAGGCGCAGAGAAUAGGUCCAGGCAACCGUUUAACAAAACAGGGCUGUGCAAACUCGAAAGAUGGUCGUAUACAGCCUGACACCCGCCUUGCGCUGAAGAGGAGAUGUCACUUCAGCAAUUAGGAAGCGAUUUCGAAUCUGAAGCCCCGGUAAACGGCGGCCGUAAAUCAUAACGGUCCCAGAAGGAAAUUCCUGUCGGGUGUAAGUUCCGACCUGCACGAAUGGUGUAACAAUCCGACGCUGCCCCUGUCCAUGAGCCCAGUGAAAUUGCAGUAUCGGUGAAGAUGCCGAUUGCUUCCGCGAUGGGACGAAAAGACCGUGAACCCUUUACUACAGCUUAGCAUUGACCUUGGUCACUAGAUGUGUAGGAUAGGCUGGAGGCUUCAGCUGGAGCGCUUUAGCUUCGCGGGUUUGAUCCUGGAAAUACGGCCCUUUGGCUGUUCGAGGUUCAUCGCGCAGUUGCGCGGACACGUUUCGGUGGGUAUCGAUUCGUGGUCGCCUAAAAGCGUGCAAUUCGAAAAUUUUGGGCGGCUCCCUGGCCGAUUGGUAACCGACCUCAAAGAGCAAUGGCAUUAAGGGCGCUUCGACUGGGAGGUGAUGCCGAGCAGGCAGGAAACUGGGGAAGGAUCCGGCGGAUGUAUGGAAACCUGUCGCUCAAAGGAUAAAAGGUACUCCGUGGGGAUAACAGGAUGAUCCCCAAGAGCUCAUAUAUCGACGUGGGUGGUUUAAGACUCCGAGGAUGUCGGCCUGGCUCUGCUACAUCCUGGGGCUGGAGAAUAGCCCUAAGGUUGGCUGUUGCCCAUUAAAGCGGCACGCGAGCUGGGUUCAGAACGUCGUGAGACAGUUCGGUCUCUAUCUAUCGUGGGCGUGGAGUUUUGAGCAGGCCGUCAUCAGUACGAGGACCGUGAUGGACAGACUUCUCCGGUUUACCAGUUAAAGCCGCCAGCGCACGCCAGUAUCUGAGUCUGGAUUUGAUAAGCGCUUCUGAAAGCAUCUGGCGCGAAGCCAGCCGCAAGAUGAGAACUCCAUUGAGGGUCGUCAGAGACGCUGACGUUGAUAGGGAUGAAAGUGUAAAGACAGCGAUGUCAAAGCCGAGCAUUUCAUUACUGCUUCCCGGAAACACUUUCUUUA